RNAcentral lists this ribosomal RNA (612 nucleotides) under Escherichia coli. RNAcentral describes it as "partial 23S ribosomal RNA". It matches the Rfam family "Bacterial large subunit ribosomal RNA", at positions 1273 to 1870 of the family's 2925-position model. The record is from RNAcentral. Lineage: Bacteria; Pseudomonadati; Pseudomonadota; Gammaproteobacteria; Enterobacterales; Enterobacteriaceae.
CUGGAGGUAUCAGAAGUGCGAAUGCUGACAUAAGUAACGAUAAAGCGGGUGAAAAGCCCGCUCGCCGGAAGACCAAGGGUUCCUGUCCAACGUUAAUCGGGGCAGGGUGAGUCGACCCCUAAGGCGAGGCCGAAAGGCGUAGUCGAUGGGAAACAGGUUAAUAUUCCUGUACUUGGUGUUACUGCGAAGGGGGGACGGAGAAGGCUAUGUUGGCCGGGCGACGGUUGUCCCGGUUUAAGCGUGUAGGCUGGUUUUCCAGGCAAAUCCGGAAAAUCAAGGCUGAGGCGUGAUGACGAGGCACUACGGUGCUGAAGCAACAAAUGCCCUGCUUCCAGGAAAAGCCUCUAAGCAUCAGGUAACAUCAAAUCGUACCCCAAACCGACACAGGUGGUCAGGUAGAGAAUACCAAGGCGCUUGAGAGAACUCGGGUGAAGGAACUAGGCAAAAUGGUGCCGUAACUUCGGGAGAAGGCACGCUGAUAUGUAGGUGAAGUCCCUCGCGGAUGGAGCUGAAAUCAGUCGAAGAUACCAGCUGGCUGCAACUGUUUAUUAAAAACACAGCACUGUGCAAACACGAAAGUGGACGUAUACGGUGUGACGCCUGCCCGGUGCC